UGUGAAAUUGCCUUAACCUUGGGCAAUUAAGUAAUAUGAGUGGUGUGAUAGGAAAUUUUGAUUCAUUGUGAUUGACUAUAAAUAAAAUUAGAAUGGUGAGAAUAAUGAUGAUGAUGCUAGUGAAAUACAAGUUGUGAUGAUACUGGUGAUGCACAAGAUAAUGAAAAUAUAUUGUACAUACCAAUUGUAAUGAGACAUAAAUAAUAAAUAGAUUGGC
Paramuricea clavata is the source of this 217-nucleotide non-coding RNA. Lineage: Eukaryota; Metazoa; Cnidaria; Anthozoa; Malacalcyonacea; Plexauridae. The record is from the annotation of a GenBank genome assembly.